This 23-nucleotide microRNA is filed under the name Gallus gallus (chicken). RNAcentral's name for it is "microRNA Ros-gga". Lineage: Eukaryota; Metazoa; Chordata; Aves; Galliformes; Phasianidae. The record is from RNAcentral.
CAGUGGGCAUGGUGGGGGUGGGC